Molecule: transfer RNA, 73 nt
Filed under: Ursus americanus (American black bear)
Lineage: Eukaryota; Metazoa; Chordata; Mammalia; Carnivora; Ursidae
Also listed under: 2 other names
Rfam family: tRNA
About the family: Transfer RNA (tRNA) molecules are approximately 80 nucleotides in length. Their secondary structure includes four short double-helical elements and three loops (D, anti-codon, and T loops).
Source: Rfam by way of RNAcentral
ACCUAGCUGGCUCAGUUGGAGGAGCGUGCAACUCUUGAUCUCAGGGUCAUGAGUUCAAGUCCCAUGUUGGGUG